CGGAGUUCAGUCUUCCCAGGCCCACCACGCUUCGCCGUCGGCUUCGCAUGGCACCGCCCGGCAGAACGACCAGGCGAAGCGCGUCCGGCAUAGCCCGAAGGGCGACGCCGGACAGAAAGAGCGCUUCGUCUUCUGGUUACGGGGCCAUAGCUCAGCUGGGAGAGCGCGUGCUUUGCAAGCAUGAGGUCGUCGGUUCGAUCCCGUCUGGCUCCACCAGAUGGUUUGAUCACCGAGAUCUUGACCGUCGUCCGCGAAACAUCACUUCGCAUCCUGCUAGUCUGGAUAGACAGCAAGUUGCGUGUUUUCUGACAUCGUAAAGAGGAGAUCGAUCCGAGUUGGAUCGUGCAACAUAUCGUUGCGCGAGCCUUCAUUAUCUCCGGAUCAUUUCGGCGCUCGCUUCCAGCCGUGAGGUUGGAUGCGGGUUGUAAAUGAUCCUUUUAGCGAAGCUUGACCGCCUCGCUAUCGGAACGAUCUUACGAAGCAAGCUGGUCUUUCUAGUCAAUGUCCGGCUGUACGUAGCAUUCAUCGAGGGUGCGCGCCCGAGAUUUCGGUCUCUUGGCAAUCGUACAGACAACAUUCUGCCGAGUGUGUGGACAUUGAUAAUGAGAGCAAUCAAGUGCCUUAAGGGUGUUCGGUGGAUGCCUUGGCGCUGAGAGGCGAUGAAGGACGUGCUACGCUGCGAUAAGCCGUGGGGAGCUGCGAAGAAGCUUUGAUCCGCGGAUUUCCGAUG
RNAcentral lists this unclassified non-coding RNA (730 nucleotides) under uncultured Bradyrhizobium sp. Its description in RNAcentral is "partial 16S-23S ribosomal RNA intergenic spacer". The stretch from base 611 to 730 matches the Rfam family "Bacterial large subunit ribosomal RNA", at positions 1 to 119 of the family's 2925-position model. Lineage: Bacteria; Pseudomonadati; Pseudomonadota; Alphaproteobacteria; Hyphomicrobiales; Nitrobacteraceae. The record is from RNAcentral.